GGGCCCGCACAAGCGGUGGAGCAUGUGGUUUAAUUCGAUGAUACGCGAGGAACCUUACCAGGGCUUAAAUGGGAAAUGACAGGGGCAGAGACGCCCCCUUCUUCGGACAUUUUUCAAGGUGCUGCAUGGUUGUCGUCAGCUCGUGCCGUGAGGUGUCAGGUUAAGUCCUAUAACGAGCGCAACCCCUACCGUUAGUUGCCAGCGUGUAAUGACGGGGACUCUAACGGAACUGCCGGUGCAAACCGUGAGGAAGGUGGGGACGACGUCAAAUCAUCACGGCCCUUACGUGUUGGCUACACACGUGCUACAAUGGUAUCUACAACAGGAAGCAAGACUGCGAAGUUAAGCA
This 349-nucleotide ribosomal RNA is filed under the name uncultured bacterium. Its description in RNAcentral is "bacterial SSU rRNA". It matches the Rfam family "Bacterial small subunit ribosomal RNA", at positions 917 to 1269 of the family's 1533-position model. The record is from RNAcentral.